This 1191-nucleotide long non-coding RNA is filed under the name Salmo salar (Atlantic salmon). RNAcentral's name for it is "lncRNA (ENSSSAG00000121250.1)". The record is from RNAcentral. Lineage: Eukaryota; Metazoa; Chordata; Actinopteri; Salmoniformes; Salmonidae.
CAGCUGCACUGAGGGAAAUAAGUCACCCAGGACAAAUGCAACGACUAAUAAUAUCCAGACAUGUCUAGCUAGUCCUCUCUGAUGUUCAGUAUGAAUACUGUUUAACUUAGAUAGAAAUGAACUUAUAUUGCCUAAUUGGUUUGAGUCUAAAGGGGGUGAGAGAAGGAGGGUUAUGAUGAGACCAAUAACUCACUGAGUGAAUCUGUCCCUCUCAAGACUGCCAUCACUCCAUCAGCAUGCAAUAACGCUGGACUCAAUUCCAGGUUCCUGCAGUGUGGAGGGAUUCUCAUCAGCCUGUGGCAGUAUUUAAACCAUACAGCCUAGAGUAUGAUUCAAACCCUUGCGUGGAAUGUUAGAAGUGCCGGUGAUAUAAUGUUCAAUAUUGAUAACGACCGGGAGCAAGAUGGGUUCUAAUCGUUUAUGAAAAUAUUGUGCAGCCAGCAUGCAUUUUCCCCCUACUGUCCCCUGUUCCCCUACUGUUCCCUUUCCCUCCUGCUUCUUCACCACAUCUAUCGGCUCUUUCUGAUAGGAAGAAAUCCACAAACACCUUCGCACCUCCUAUCAAACGAGCUCCUGUAAAAACGCAACACUGUCAGAGAAGUGGCUCUGUGCGCGCAAGGUGUAACAUCCCUGGAGUGUUUUGUAAGCAUCAUUGCCAACUGGAUUCAAAGUGUAUUUUAGUCCUCUACUAUGGCAUCUGUGGAUCUCAUGAACUGUGGAUUUCUUCUUUGUCAUUGAAGAUAAUUGGCCACACAAACUAAACUCAAGGAUUAUUAAAGAGCAGGCCUAUCAUAGUGUAGGGCAACAGGGCCAAUUAAAUCCUGGUCUGGAAAAAUACUGAGUGCUAUUGAUGGGUUUGCUUUGAAAUGAUAGUAAGAAUCUCUGACACUAUUUUGUUUAAACUGUCCUCAAAGAAGUGGAUUGUAGUUUUAGACAUGAUAACAACUGGUGUCUUGGUCUGUAUGGUACCUCGUCCUGCUCCAGCAACAUAGUCAGUGCCAUCCCCAGACAAAAGGUUGAGGAAUGUGAACCUGAAGGUUCUGCCCAUGGAGGCCCACCCUGGAGGCAGACCAUUCAGAAUGCCUCAGCCCAGAAACCAGCCUGAUGGUGAUCUGGAGGCCCACCCUGGAGGCAGACCAUUCAGAAUGCCUCAGCCCAGAAACCAGCCUGAUGGUGAUCUGGAGGCCCACC